UACGUAGGGUGCAAGCGUUAAUCGGAAUUACUGGGCGUAAAGCGUGCGCAGGCGGCUGGGUAAGAUAGAUGUGAAAUCCCCGGGCUCAACCUGGGAACUGCAUUUGUGACUGCACGGCUGGAGUGCGGCAGAGGGGGAUGGAAUUCCGCGUGUAGCAGUGAAAUGCGUAGAUAUGCGGAGGAACACCGAUGGCGAAGGCAAUCCCCUGGGCCGGCACUGACGCUCAUGCACGAAAGCGUGGGGAGCAAACAGG
RNAcentral lists this ribosomal RNA (253 nucleotides) under uncultured bacterium. Its description in RNAcentral is "partial 16S ribosomal RNA". It matches the Rfam family "Bacterial small subunit ribosomal RNA", at positions 524 to 776 of the family's 1533-position model. The record is from RNAcentral.